Molecule: long non-coding RNA, 1712 nt
Filed under: Anas platyrhynchos platyrhynchos (common mallard)
Lineage: Eukaryota; Metazoa; Chordata; Aves; Anseriformes; Anatidae
Description: lncRNA (ENSAPLG00000025977.1)
Source: RNAcentral
CAGACAUGUGUUGCUCAGAUAAGACAACCUGUGAGGACUUGUGCUGAUGUUCUUGGUUGUUUUGACAGCACUGAGAUACUUUCCUUAAGGAAUAUAAAAGCUGUGCUGCUAAUAAGAAGCAACAGAAACCACAUUGUGUGCUUUUCUCUCUCUCCCCUCCCUUUUCCACAUUUUUUCUGCACUGUUCCUCACCUCAUUUGCUCCUUCUUGAACUGUCUGAGUGAUGCUUCUCCAAUCAGCCCCUCAUCAAACCGAAGUGCCUCUUGGUGCCCUUCACCCCCCGCUCCCACUUCCCAUGGUCAAGUAACGUGGAUCCCAUCAGCUCACCUGCCCCAGGUGUCCCUUCUCAAACCAGGCCAAAAGCCAGAUACCCAACAAGUGACUCCGCAUAAAUUUGGACACGGACAGGACAUGCUCAUCUUUCUUUUCAAAGCAAUUAAAAUUCUCAUUCACUCUUUCCAUCUCUCAUUCUUGCCACAUGUAAUGAAGCAGAAAGACAACAAGGGACACGGUCACUGGGGAUGCUUGUCAAGUCUGUGACAAGCCGCAGAAGUUCCCUAUUAAUAUCACUUGUGAAAACUUCCACAAAGAAAUGCUCCGGUUCCAAGGUCAAGUAUUCAGCUGUGAGGAAAUAACCGUGUCAUAACUUCCCCGGCCACCUCAGCUCAGUUUCACCAUAUAUAGCCUUUAUAAUAUUUAAUUACGUUAUCACAGAUAAUAACCUCUUCAAGGUCUAACCGAUACUAUCAGAGGAGUUUAUCCUCAAUAUGAACAAUUUCAACCAGAAAUGUAUCAAUUUAUGUCUCAAAACUCUAAGAAAAUUAAAAUAAGGUAUUGCAUUUAUAAACUUGACACCAAGGAGUGAUCUAUGUUUGUUUAUCCCGUGUUUCCCUAUGGUUUUACUCUCCACAUAAGCCUCUUUUUUUUUAUUUUUAUUUUUUAUUUUUUUUUUCUCUCUUCUAUUUCACCCUGCUUCCUUUGCUUCUAUUUUUUUUUUUUUCCUUCCCCACUUCAGUGUGUUCUCUGUGGCAGCUGAAACACUGUGAUUUGGGCACACUUCACCAGGAAGACAUUUCAGGAGGAAAAUCACAUUAACCAGGCUAUUUUAUAGUGGUAAAAACGUUGUAGUGCCAUUAAAGCACAGCAGCUGCACAGAACUUCUGGUAAUCAUAGGUCUGAGUUAAGCCAUCUGAGGCCUAGAGGGAAGUCCCCAUCCCAUUUUGGGAACAAUUUCACCACAGAAAAUGGCAGUGGCUGCAGAAGUUUCAGCCAGAGAUCUGGAAGAUGUACCCUGAGCAUACUUAUAUAUAUGUAGGCCUGGGUCAUCUUCUGAGGACACAUCAUACAGGGGUUUUUAUUAGCACCCACCAAGGAAAGAUUUGAGGUAAAUUCCUGCUUGCCUUAAGUUCCAAAGGUGAACUCAACUUGGCAUGGCAGACCCGUGGUCAGGAUAACCGAUGGAGGAGAGCAGGGAGUCCUGUCUCUGCUCAUCCCCCACGUUUCACUGGAAAUGCAGUGACCAAGGUGACCUUGCAGGGAACCCCCAGCCACUGGCAAGCCAGCAAGCCCCUUAUCCAGCUGUAAGGGCUCAUCCAUGCUAGCUUGCUAGCAGAGGCCUGUGCAAAAGCCACUGGAGAUGCCUUGCCAUGAAACAGCCAGUCCCAGUCCUGUCUACAUGAGAAAGCACAAAUAAAUAACAGAAACAGUCUACA